This is a long non-coding RNA of Triticum urartu, 1128 nucleotides long. RefSeq lists it as uncharacterized. NCBI's taxonomy places the organism in Eukaryota, Viridiplantae, Streptophyta, Magnoliopsida, Poales, Poaceae. The record is from RefSeq and is a predicted model, not a curated record.
UCCCAGCCGUAACUACUCCACGAGAAGCCCACACACGUUGCUUUUUCCCCUCCGCCCCGCUUCUCCCAUCUAGUCGCCGGACGGCCGUCCCACGCUGCUCCUCCGCUCGCUGCCUCUCCCAUCGAGAAUCACCCUCUCCUACGAGCGGAUCGCCGCCCUCCGGUCCACCAUGUGCCGUCGCCUCGCCGCCCCUCGAUGCUGCCCGUGUGCAAUGCCGUCCGCUGCAACACAUUACCACGCCCUCCCGACCGCAUACUCCUCGCCUUGCAGCGGCGCCCGGCACGCACACCCCCGCACCGGCCCUCUCCAUCUCCCGGCCCCGUCGUCUACCCGUCUCGCCGCUGGCGAGGCAGCCAAGAAGAUCGCGAGCAGCGCAUCCUUUGCCGACUGUAGUGCCCCUCCAGAUGUCAUCCUGCAUCCCCUCUUUGUCUCGCGGGAUGACCCCCAAUGAGCCGGUGUAUUUGUUGUACGGCGAUGGUGGCUUCUCUUCUAUCAAAAAAAAAAAAGUUGAGGCAAGAGCAUGAUUCAGUUGCGAGGGACAAAGGCAAUUCCAGGAUGACAGUAGAAUUUGAUGAGGGAGAAUGAGCUCAACAGUCUUCCAGACUCUGGGAGCAUUUUUUAUAUUUUUUCUGCAGAUGCAGGCAUGCAACAUUGUAAGUGGACGGGCAACUAAAAUAUAUGAGUCAUUGCUGCCAUCCACGAAAAGACUUGAAUGAGGCAAAGGAAUACAAAAAUAAUCUGCCAGAUGCUACAAAGAUGACUGCAGCAGUCAUGGAUGUAAAAAAGGCGCAUUUCAAUCAUUGAGUUUUAAAUCAUGGACAUGGAGCCAUGGAUUAGUGAAGGAACAUCCUAAAUUGUUCGAAGUAUGUGGGAUUGCUUGUUUUGAGCUAGGAGGAUUUUGAUGUACAUAACUCUAUUUUUUGGAAUUCUGAACUGAAGUUUGCACCUUGUAUCUUUUAGAAAGAAAGGAAGAUUGUAUGUGGCACUGUCUUCCUUUAUUUAUUUUUUCUCUUUGCAGCUACAGGAUUGUACAUGCGAACUACUACCUGUGUAACAAAAUAUAAGAUGUAUUUGUAGGCUAAACUAGGCUACAAAAACGUCUUUUAUUUUGGUACAGAGGGAGUACAU